UCCACGGUCGGUCAAAACCCGCUCUCCUUCACCCCCGCACGCUCAACCCCCUACCCCCUCCUCUAUCUCUCUGUGAGGAACUUUCCCUCUUUGUCUUGACCAUGGGAACGUACGUGACGCCCUUUUUGCUUGCAUUUCUUGGAAUGCAGCUUCCUCUACUAAUAAUGGCAGAUUGCCCCUUAAAUUUGAGUGGAUCUAAUUUCACUGUAGUGGCCUCAGUCUGCUCAAAUGAAGAUGACAGGGGAAAGUGUUGUCGCUACAUCAAUGCUUUUGUCUCAGUUUCUAUUGCACGCUAUGCAAAUGCCACGGGCAACCUAGGGGUUACUACAAAUUUAUCUGAAAUCUGCAAGCACUCCAUAUCUGAAACCUUGGGACUGUAUGGUGUUCCACGAAAUGCAACAGCAUUUUGUGGGUUUGGAACAAAAAUCCCAGUUAAUUAUGAGUGUAAGGGUCGGAAAACUGUCAACCAGAUGCUGCAGUCUCCAAAAUUUGUGGAUGUCAAUGAAAAUUGCAAAAUGCCACUUUCAGAUGAAACUAAUUGCAGGAAAUGUUUAAAUGCUGGCAUCAUGUAUCUUCAUCAUCUGGUAGGAGCAGAAGAUAAUAUGACGCUGAGUACAUGCCGCGAUGCAAUUUUUGCUGCAAUUGGAAGCCAAGUUGAUGGCAUUUCAGUGGUUGAAAUUGCAAGCUGUUUCUUUGGAGUUCAAGGUCUUGGCAUGCUUCCAGAGCCAUCCCCGUCUCCACUCACGCCUGACACUUCUCCUAGUCCAUUGGUUGCUGUAAGCCCAAGCCAACUAAUGUUGGGCAUACCCAUAACCAAAAAGCACCGCCCCUAUCACCUGACAUUAAUUCCAGGUGUUGGACUUGCAAUUACAGCAGUUGCUGUUAUGAUUAUGGUUGUCUUGGUAUUUCUUAUUCGUAGCAAGAAUAGAGAGCUGGAGGAUUCUAAAAGUAUAGAUAAGACAUUUUCAAAGUCUUUUCCUCCUUCUUGGCCUAUGUGGAAAUUUCCAGAAGGUGUAGGUCCUUUGUCCAUGUUCCGGAAAUUCAGCUAUAAGGAGAUAAAGAAGGCAACGGACAGUUUCAACACUAUCAUUGGGCAAGGAGGAUUUGGAACAGUGUACAAGGCUCAAUUUAGUGAUGGCUUAGAGGCAGCAGUAAAACGCAUGGACAAAGUUUCAGAGCAGGGGGAGGAUGACUUCUGCAGAGAGAUUGAGCUUCUCGCUAGACUGCAUCAUCGUCAUCUUGUUUCUCUUAGGGGCUUUUGCAUAACAAAACAUGAGAGGUUUCUCAUGUACGAGUAUAUGGCAAAUGGAAGCUUAAAGGAUCAUCUUCAUGCCCCUGGAAGAACCCCUCUCAACUGGCGGACUAGAGUGCAGAUUGCAAUAGACGUUGCUAAUGCUCUGGAGUACCUCCAUUUUUACUGUGAUCCUCCUCUAUGCCACAGAGAUAUUAAGUCCAGCAACAUUUUAUUGGAUGAGAACUUUGUAGCUAAGGUUGCAGAUUUUGGCCUUGCACAUGCUUCAAAAGAUGGUUCUAUUUGCUUUGAACCAGUAAAUACUGAUAUCCGGGGAACUCCAGGUUAUAUGGAUCCUGAAUAUGUUGUCACUCAAGAACUCACUGAGAAAAGCGAUGUUUACAGCUACGGUGUGUUACUCUUGGAGAUAGUGACUGCUAGACGAGCAAUACAGGACAACAAGAAUCUAGUGGAAUGGUCCCAAAAAUACGUGACAUCAGAAUCAAGUUUACCUGAGCUUGUGGAUCCUAGUAUCAGGGAUUCUUUUGACCUGGACCAACUUCAAACAGUAGUCUCUAUUGUGAGAUGGUGUACCCAGAAAGAAGGUCACACUAGGCCGUCAAUUAAACAGGUUCUUAGGCUUCUGUACGAGAGCUCUGAACCAAUGCAAAAUGGGCUUUUAGAAGCACUCGAAGAUGAAGAGUAUGUAGGAAUGGAAAGGAGAGGAAGGACAAGCAAGGGCAAAAUACAGAGGCACGAGGCAAUUUUUCACAGUGGAGAUGGAAGAUAUCUUGCUUCUUCCUCAAGUACCUCUAGGUCAUAUUGCAGUAGGAGCUUUUUACUUGAAACUGGCUCUCCUCAGUCGCCGCACAAUAUACUUUCUGUUUGAUAUCUAUAAUCUGGGUAGAGGCAGUCCCACAUGCAUUGGAUAAGUGGUGCUUGAAUUAGGUUGAACGAAUGCUCAGUUUCCAUCCGCACGAAGUAAAAGUUUCAUCUUUUGGAGACAUGUCAGAGACAUCAAGAUUAUAACUGGAUUUAGUUAAAGUUUAAAGGACAAGUUUGCAACUUGGAUGUUCCUUGAAAAUGACUUCAGUAUGCAGCAGCGGAGAAAAAACAGAUUUGGUUUUCCUUGUAAAAAAUGCUUGCUCAUCUGACUUACUUUAUAUAUAAAGAUCUAAUAAGGAGCAAUGCAUAGUUAGUUUCCGUUCAAGCCUGUCAUUGUAAGCGUAUAUAUAUAUAUAUGUAUUGUAUGUGUUCUUGUAUGAUUAAAAUAUACUUUCAGCUAAGG
Molecule: RNA transcript, 2519 nt
Organism: Juglans regia (Persian walnut)
Lineage: Eukaryota; Viridiplantae; Streptophyta; Magnoliopsida; Fagales; Juglandaceae
Gene name: probable receptor-like protein kinase At1g49730
Exons: 10
Source: RefSeq, a predicted model, not a curated record